This 1517-nucleotide ribosomal RNA is filed under the name Cthulhu macrofasciculumque. Its description in RNAcentral is "SSU rRNA". It matches the Rfam family "Eukaryotic small subunit ribosomal RNA". Lineage: Eukaryota; Parabasalia; Honigbergiellida; Cthulhuidae. The record is from RNAcentral.
CUUCGGUCAUAGAUUAAGCCAUGCAAGUGACAGUUCCGGCUCGGUCCAAAACUGCGAACAGCUCAUUAACACACUCAGUACCUCAUUGAUGGCGACCCUUAGGGUCUUAUAUGGAUAGCAGGAGAAAACUCGUGCUAAUACAUGCGAUUGUUCCGUCGGAAUUGAAUUACGUCGGAAAAGUUAACUUUACUAGUACAUCAUUCGGUUGAGUGACCUAUCAGCCUGUACUUAGGGCCUUUACCUAGGUAAGCAAUCACGGGUAACGGGCGGUUACCGUCGUACUGCCGGAGAAGGCGCCUGAGAGAUAGCGACUAUACCUAUGGGUAGCAGCAGGCGCGAAACUUUCCCAAUCUUCAACGAAGGAGGGGGUAAUGACCAGUUUUAUACGCCUCUUUAUGGGGAUGUAAAUAGGAUUGCAGCUUCCAACUGCAGCGUAACCUAGCAGAGGGCCAGUCUGGUGCCAGCAGCUGCGGUAAUUCCAGCUCUGCGGGUUUGCUCCCAUAUUGUUGCAGUUAAAACGCCCGUAGUCUGAAAUAGACGUAUGUCUGCAAUAUUUCACUGUGAAUAAAUCAGGACGCUUAGGGUACGGCUACCGGGAAUGACCUAGCGCAGUAUGAGGACUUUGCCCAUUGGGUAAGCUCAAUGAGAGCCAUCGGGGGUAGAUCUAUUCCAUGGCGAGCGGCGGAAUGCUUUGACCCAUGUGGAGAGGAACGAACGCGAAGGCAUCUACCUAGAGGGUUUCUGUCGAUCAAGGGCGAGAGUGGAAGUAUCCAACCGGAUCAGAGACCCGGGUAGUUUCCACUGUAAACGAUGCCGACAGGGGAUUGUUCUUCCAUAAGAGCAGGACUUCCGGAGAAAUCAUAGUUCAUGGGCUCUGGGGGAACUACGACCGCAAGGCUGAAACUUGAAGGAAUUGACGGAAGGGCACACCAGGGGUGGAGCCUGUGGCUUAAUUUGAAUCAACACGGGGAAACUUACCAGGACCAGAUGUUGUUAUGACUGACUUUNUAAAGGGAAUUCAGGAUUUGACUUGUGGUGGUGCAUGGCCGUUGGUGGUGCGUGGGUUGACCUGUCUAGCGUUGAUUCAGAUAACGAGCGAGAUUAUCGCCAAUUACUAAUGUUCCCCUUUAAAGUGGAUACAUUCUAAUUGGGACUCCCUGCGUCUAGCAGGCGGAAGAGGGUAGCAAUAACAGGUCCGUGAUGUCCUUUAGAUGCUCUGGGCUGCACGCGUGCUACAAUGUGAGUUACAAACAGAUUCAACCCCGAGAGGGAGUGGUACUCUGUCAACAGCUCACGUGGUUGGGAUUGACGGUUGGAAUCACCGUCAUGAACCAGGAAUCCCUUGUAAACGUGUGUCAACAGCGCACGUUGAAUACGUCCCUGCCCUCUGUACACACCGCCCGUCGCUCCUACCGAUUGGAUGACUCGGUGAAGUCGCUGGACCUUAGGGGAAGGCAAUUAAACCACGUUAUCUAGAGGAAGGAGAAGUCGUAACAAGGAAGGGCGAAUUCCACAGU